This 196-nucleotide microRNA precursor is filed under the name Oryza glumipatula. RNAcentral describes it as "MIR812 microRNA precursor family". It matches the Rfam family "MIR812 microRNA precursor family". The record is from Rfam by way of RNAcentral. Lineage: Eukaryota; Viridiplantae; Streptophyta; Magnoliopsida; Poales; Poaceae.
AAAAAGGCAAACCCUGGAUUUCCGUGUCCAACUUUGACUGUCCGUCUUAUAUGAAAUUUUUUUGUAAUUCGUAUUUUUAUUGUUGUUAGAUGAUAAAACAUGAUUAAUAUUUUAUGCGUAACUUGUCUUUUUACUUUUUUUUAUAAUUUUUUCAAAUAAGAUGGAUGGUCAAACGUUGGGCACGGAAAUCAGGGUU